RNAcentral lists this ribosomal RNA (498 nucleotides) under uncultured bacterium. RNAcentral describes it as "partial 16S ribosomal RNA". It matches the Rfam family "Bacterial small subunit ribosomal RNA", at positions 899 to 1397 of the family's 1533-position model. The record is from RNAcentral.
ACUCAAAUGAAUAGACGGGGGCCCGCACAAGCGGUGGAUGAUGUGGAUUAAUUCGAUGCAACGCGAAAAACCUUACCUACCCUUGACAUGUACGGAAGUCCGAUGAAAGUCGGAUGUGCUCGAAAGAGAACCGUAACACAGGUGCUGCAUGGCUGUCGUCAGCUCGUGUCGUGAGAUGUUGGGUUAAGUCCCGCAACGAGCGCAACCCUUGCCAUUAGUUGCUACAUUUAGUUGGGCACUCUAAUGGGACUGCCGGUGACAAACCGGAGGAAGGUGGGGAUGACGUCAAGUCCUCAUGGCCCUUAUGGGUAGGGCUUCACACGUCAUACAAUGGUCGGUACAGAGGGUUGCCAACCCGCGAGGGGGAGCUAAUCUCAUAAAACCGAUCGUAGUCCGGAUUGCAGUCUGCAACUCGACUGCAUGAAGUCGGAAUCGCUAGUAAUCGCGGAUCAGCAUGUCGCGGUGAAUACGUUCCCGGGCCUUGUACACACCGCCCGU